AGUGAACGCUGGCGGUAGGCCUAACACAUGCAAGUCGAACGGCAGCACAGUAAGAGCUUGCUCUUACGGGUGGCGAGUGGCGGACGGGUGAGGAAUACAUCGGAAUCUACUUUUUCGUGGGGGAUAACGUAGGGAAACUUACGCUAAUACCGCAUACGGCCUACGGGUGAAAUCAGGGGAUCUUCGGACCUUGCGCGAUUGAAUGAGCCGAUGUCGGAUUAGCUAGUUGGCGGGGUAAAGGCCCACCAAGGCGACGAUCCGUAGCUGGUCUGAGAGGAUGAUCAGCCACACUGGAACUGAGACACGGUCCAGACUCCUACGGGAGGCAGCAGUGGGGAAUAUUGGACAAUGGGCGCAAGCCUGAUCCAGCCAUGCCGCGUGGGUGAAGAAGGCCUUCGGGUUGUAAAGCCCUUUUGUUGGGAAAGAACAGCAGCAGGUUAAUACCCCGCUGUUCUGACGGUACCCAAAGAAUAAGCACCGGCUAACUUCGUG
Molecule: ribosomal RNA, 492 nt
Filed under: uncultured bacterium
Lineage: Bacteria
Description: partial 16S ribosomal RNA
Rfam family: Bacterial small subunit ribosomal RNA
Source: RNAcentral